CAGUAGCCGCGGGAAUACAGAGGGUGCGAGCGUUAAUCGGAUUUACUGGGCGUAAAGCGUGCGUAGGCGGCUUUUUAAGUCGGAUGUGAAAUCCCUGAGCUUAACUUAGGAAUUGCAUUCGAUACUGGGAAGCUAGAGUAUGGGAGAGGAUGGUAGAAUUCCAGGUGUAGCGGUAAAAUGCGUAGAGAUCUGGAGGAAUACCGAUGGCGAAGGCAGCCAUCUGGCCUAAUACUGACGCUGAGGUACGAAAGCAUGGGGAGCAAACAGGAUUAGAUACCCCAGUAGUCCCUGUCUCUUAUAC
Molecule: ribosomal RNA, 301 nt
Filed under: uncultured bacterium
Lineage: Bacteria
Description: partial 16S ribosomal RNA
Rfam family: Bacterial small subunit ribosomal RNA
Source: RNAcentral